Punica granatum (pomegranate) is the source of this 545-nucleotide non-coding RNA. The record is from RefSeq and is a predicted model, not a curated record. Lineage: Eukaryota; Viridiplantae; Streptophyta; Magnoliopsida; Myrtales; Lythraceae.
CUGGCUUUCUACUUCCCUUCUCCGUUCAGAUUUAAAACACAAAGAAAAGAAUGAAGGUUUAGGUGAAAAAAAGCCAAGAUGACAGAUGUAGAGGCUCAACUUAAAAGAGAAGCAGAGUAGCUCCAAAGGAAGAUGAAGCUGCAUCUCCAAUUUUUGGCGGCUAACUAAAGCAUUUGACUGAAGUCUAUAGUGACUUACUGUGCUAUUUAAUUGUUGUCUUUUAGCUUCUCUCUAGCAAAGCAAGUUCCUACAUAAGCUGAUACAAAAGACAGCAGCAAGGGUUUUUCCAGGGAGGUUGAAGCUGCACUAACAGAAGAGUGUAACUCGGAGAAGUAAAUGAAGUCCUCGAGAAGAGGUUACUUGAAGCAAGAGGCCAAUCAUCAAUGCAUAUUCAAUAUUAUAUUUUUUCUUUAGCUUUUAGAUGUGUAUGAAUGUGCUUUUUUCUAGUAGAUGUAAUGACAUUGUCUUAUAAAUACGCUACUUAAUAUGUGUCAAUAGCUUUGUUACUGUAUAUUUUGAUUAGAAUACAGCCACCUUUAAGGAAA